CUACGGGCUGCUGCAGUGAGGAAUAUUGCACAAUGGGGGGAACCCUGAUGCAGCAACGCCGCGUGGAGGAUGACGCAUUUCGGUGUGUAAACUCCUUUUAUAUGUCAAGAAAAUGACGGUAGCAUAUGAAUAAGCACCGGCUAACUCCGUGCCAGCAGCCGCGGUAAUACGGAGGGUGCAAGCGUUACUCGGAAUCACUGGGCGGAAAGGACGCGUAGGCGGGUUGGAAAGUCAGGUGUGAAAUCCUACAGCUUAACUGUAGAACUGCACUUGAAACUUCUAAUCUAGAGUAUGGGAGGGGGAGAUGGAAUUAGUGGUGUAGGGGCAAAAUCCGUAGAUAUCACUAGGAAUACCUAAAGCGAAGGCGAUCUCCUGGAACAUUACUGACGCUAAGGCGUGAAAGCGUGGGGAGCAAACAGGAUUAGAUACCCCUGUAGUC
Molecule: ribosomal RNA, 439 nt
Filed under: uncultured bacterium
Lineage: Bacteria
Description: partial 16S ribosomal RNA
Rfam family: Bacterial small subunit ribosomal RNA
Source: RNAcentral